Long non-coding RNA from Ostrea edulis (European flat oyster), 1518 nucleotides. RefSeq lists it as uncharacterized. The record is from RefSeq and is a predicted model, not a curated record. Lineage: Eukaryota; Metazoa; Mollusca; Bivalvia; Ostreida; Ostreidae. The transcript has 3 exons.
CAAAUGCUAAAACAAUAAAUAAAGUAAAAAGGUGAUUAUAUAAAGGUCGUAAAGCAAGAACCAUGUUAUAUGGUCGAGGGGUCCGUAUUUGCCCUUCUCGUAAUUUUGAAAUCUUCGUAUGAAUUAUAAGAUUGAUCACUGUUCGUUAUCUUCACCUUUUCAUUUAUCAUGGCGAAUUGCUGCACCAACCAAGAAUUAAGAAUACAGCGAAAAGACGCUGAGAAAUACCGGAGUCGUUUUUUUUUUCAUUCUCUGGGCAAAUUUGAGAAUGUAAAAAGAUCCCGAGUUUAGCAUUGAUGAUCCAUGUAUCUAUAUUAUCUAUGUUCCAAAUUCUCCCAAUUACUGUGUUUCUUACGAUGCAUUUGUCUUUAACUAAUGUCAAUUUGAUACCUAUAUUUGAAAGCAUUUAGUUUAAACUGUAUUGAUUUCAUAAAACAAGAUAUAUAUAUGUGUUUUUCUAAUGUUGAGAUCGGAAAACAAGUGCAGUUAUAUCAAUUUAUAUCUCGUUGUUAUGCAUUUACAAAUGGCGAUCACUUUUUGAGAAGAAAAGAGUAAAGACAAGAAUUGAAAAAUAGACAAAUUUUGUACUCUAGAUAUAAAUGUAAUAAACUUUGUAACAUACAUAAUAUGAAAUCAUAUCUAAGUGUCCAUAUGCAACAAGUAUUACUCUUAGCAGGUAUAAUCUUUCAGACAAAAUGGGUUGAUGAUCAAUACAAUUAUGGGUAUUUAUGUGUAUAUGUUAGCAGAAUAGACGUUAUUGCACUUGACAACAUUUUUGCGCCAUCAAUAAUUAUGUAUAGAAAAUGUAAACGUUAUCAACAUCAAAUUCUAUUUUUUAUUUUUUUUAUUUCAAUUUCAGAGUACUUGUAUGUGGAGUCAGAGUAGUGUUGAAUAGAGUAAUUUUUGGACGACUGGUCACUAGAUAUGGAUAUUUCCGUUUUCAUUUUUGUUAAAUAAGCAACUGCCUAUCAUGGCAAAAAAUCUAAUCUUCAAUUUAUCGCGAGGAAUGGUCGUGUAAAGUGUUGAAAUGUCAUACGUUUUGACGUUGUUAAUUUGCGAAAAGAAUAUCCCUCUUCCUGUCAAUCUGGUAUUCUUGCCUCUCAUCAUUAACAGUCGCCGUUAUUGCGGCGUCCUGAAUCAAAUGAAUCCUUCAAGUGGAAUAAUGUUUGUUGAUUGCUGUAGAUUUGAAAUCAAUGCCACUAUCAACUCGGAAGCCGCAAGAUGUGCAUGAUACCAACAAGAAUGUGAACUUUUCAAAGAGCAUAUUUCCAAUUUUCCACAUCUCUAGAGCAGUGACCACAAAUGUACAUACAAGUACCCACAGAUGACAGCCAUAUUGACUCCAGUGGAUAAUAUUUACCCCCAUCAGCUGGUUACUACACUGUACAUAGUUGUCAAACCAGGAUAUCCACUAAUUGCUUUCAGUGAUGUGAAUUGUCAUCUACAUUUGUGCUUAUGAACUUUAGUAAACUGUCAAGUUUUAAUAUGAAGAAAAUGACUGCUGAAAAAGCAUCUAAU